Molecule: non-coding RNA, 27 nt
Filed under: Homo sapiens (human)
Lineage: Eukaryota; Metazoa; Chordata; Mammalia; Primates; Hominidae
Source: RNAcentral
UGACCAGAAGGCUCACAGGAAAAUGGU